CUUAUGUUGAAUUGCUGUGUGUUUUUAGCAUGGUUUUUACUCCCCCUUUGGCAGAAGCUCUCUCAUGUGAUUGGAUGACUGUGAGUCACAUGAGAGAGGCAAUCCAUUUUGUUGUGACUGUUAUUCAAGUAACUUUCGUUUUUAACUGCUUUCUGUUCUCUCUGUGUGUGAUGAGGUGGAAUGGCUGCUGAGAGAGGUUUCUCUGGAUGCUGAUGAGAACACUGUGAGUUAGUAUGACCUGUCUGGGAUGAAGAAGACAGAGUAAGAUCCCUUAAUGUCAGUAGGGAGAAACCUGUGCUCUCUAUAAGGAACAAAGUGAAUACGCUUGAGAUUGUAGGUAUGUUCUUCUCGGUUAUAUGUUUAUGAAAGCAAAGUUCUUUUGAAUAUAAAGAGUCUGGAUAUUGCAUAGCAUCCAAAUUUAUAUAUAAAACAGGUGGCAUGGGAAUUAAUUGUAUAUGGAUGAAGUCAGGAGUUUCCUGGGUCUGUUUUGCUCUGGUCUAAGAAAGACAAUGGGAUGCGGGUGGCGCUGUGGGUUAAACCACAGAGCCUAGGGCUUGCCGAUCAGAAGGUCGGCGGUACGAAUCCCUGCAAUAGGGUGAGCUCCCGUUCGGUCCCAGCUCCUGCCAACCUAGCUGUUCAAAAGCACGUCAAAGUGCAAGUAGAUAAAUAGGUACCCCUCUGGCGGGAAGGUAAACAGCGUUUCCAAGCACUGCUCUGGUUCGCCAGAAGCAGCUUAGUCAUGCUGGCCACAUGACCCGGAAGCUGUCUGCGGACAAACACUGGCUCCCUCAGCCAGUAAAGCGAGAUGAGCGCAACAACCCCAGAGUCGUCUGUGACUGGACCUAAUGUUCAGGGUUCCUUUUACCUUUACCUUUAAGAAAGACAAUAAAAUUCCUGUCUAGAUUUCUGGCUAGCAUGUAUUCUGACUAAGCCUUCAAUGAGUGCUUUCAAUUACAAGCUAAGCUGCAGUCAAUGAACAUCACAUAAGGCAGUCUUCAGCAAUGUGUGGUGUUGUUGUUUAGAACACCUCUUCUUGAUUGGAGGCUAUCAUUUUGUUUUCCACAGUGGUCAACAGAUGCCUAUGGGGAUCCUAGGGAUACAAGUUUCCCAAACCUUCUAAAAUCCCACACACACCCUCAACUCGGGUUCUGCAAGCUUAUUUCUUUUAUUCCACCGGGGGGGGGGUGUCCCCCAGUAAGAGAGGCAGAGCAUGGGAACUGGGUCUGAGUCUUUUGUUGACUGAAGGGAAAUUAUGGGCUUACUUGCCUUCAGUCAGCUGAAGCACCCACUGAGUGAGAAGAAUCUUGAUAGACCAUCCUCACCUAAUGAGAGUUCUUAGGGAACAGUAAUGGUCUCCCCUGGAUUAGAGGGUGCCAUUGUGGCUGCAUAAGGACUGAUACCCAGAGAAUUCAGCUUGCUGUUGGUAUAUAAGAUGAUGCCUGGUGUACAGGAAAGAGAUCAUUUCAGGCUUUAUUUCUAGAAAGUUCAUGAUCUUUAUAUGCACAUAAAUGUCUAGCUCCCAUGUUUCCGCAUCGCAGAAUAUUAAGUAGCCUUCUUGGCCAAUUAUAAAGUUUUUUUAUCCCGUCAAGCCAAAGUUCCUUUUUCCAUUUUCUCGUAGAUUGUUUAUCUCGCAAGACAUGGGAAUUGGUUUGAUGUCUGCGCGGUUCAUGAAUGUGGAUGUUAAGCUGCUUGUGUGUGCGGAUUAAAUUCUCUUUGCAUACAAAUAACAGAAAAAUAAAUCUCCCUUUUCAUGUCGUAACAUGCAUAUAGAAUUAAUUGAUUUGUAAGCACAGCUAUCUCCUUUCCAAAACAGGG
This 1815-nucleotide long non-coding RNA is filed under the name Podarcis lilfordi (Lilford's wall lizard). Lineage: Eukaryota; Metazoa; Chordata; Lepidosauria; Squamata; Lacertidae. The record is from RNAcentral.